UUAAAGGUCAAGUUAUUAAGGGUGUAGGGCGGAUGCCUUGGCACUAGGAGCCGAAGAAAGACGUGAUAAGCUGCGAAAAGCUGCGGGGAUUGGCAAAUACGAGUUGAUCCGCAGAUAUCUGAAUGGGGAAACUCACUUGGAGUAAUGUCCAAGUAUCCAUAGGUGAAUACAUAGCCUAUGGAGG
RNAcentral lists this ribosomal RNA (184 nucleotides) under Megasphaera micronuciformis. RNAcentral's name for it is "partial 23S ribosomal RNA". It matches the Rfam family "Bacterial large subunit ribosomal RNA", at positions 1 to 179 of the family's 2925-position model. The record is from RNAcentral. Lineage: Bacteria; Bacillati; Bacillota; Negativicutes; Veillonellales; Veillonellaceae.